Molecule: ribosomal RNA, 433 nt
Filed under: uncultured bacterium
Lineage: Bacteria
Description: partial 16S ribosomal RNA
Rfam family: Bacterial small subunit ribosomal RNA
Source: RNAcentral
AGCGAACGCUGGCGGCAGGCUUAACACAUGCAAGUCGAGCGGGCACUUCGGUGUCAGCGGCAGACGGGUGAGUAACACGUGGGAACGUACCCUUUGGUUCGGAAUAACGCUGGGAAACUAGCGCUAAUACCGGAUACGCCCUUUUGGGGAAAGGCUUGCUGCCGAAGGAUCGGCCCGCGUCUGAUUAGCUAGUUGGUGGGGUAAUGGCCUACCAAGGCGACGAUCAGUAGCUGGUCUGAGAGGAUGAUCAGCCACACUGGGACUGAGACACGGCCCAGACUCCUACGGGAGGCAGCAGUGGGGAAUAUUGGACAAGGGGGGCAAGCCUGAUCCAGCCAUGCCGCGGAAGUGAUGAAGGCCUUAGGGUUGUAAAGCUGUUUUGUCCGGGACGAUAAUGACGGUACCGGAAGAAUAAGCCCCGGCUAACUUCGUG